Molecule: ribosomal RNA, 253 nt
Filed under: uncultured bacterium
Lineage: Bacteria
Description: partial 16S ribosomal RNA
Rfam family: Bacterial small subunit ribosomal RNA
Source: RNAcentral
UACAGAGGGUGCAAGCGUUAUUCGGAAUUACUGGGCGUAAAGAGCGUGUAGGCGGUUUACUAAGUCUGGUGUGAAAUCCCUGGGCCCAAUCCAGGAAGUGCAUUGGAUACUGGUAGACUAGAGUGCAGGAGGGGUGAGCGGAAUUCCAGGUGUAGAGGUGAAAUUCGUAGAUAUCUGGAGGAACAACAGUGGCGAAGGCGGCUCACUGGACUGCAACUGACGCUAAGGCGCGAAAGCGUGGGGAGCAAACAGG